Molecule: ribosomal RNA, 864 nt
Filed under: uncultured euryarchaeote
Lineage: Archaea; Methanobacteriati; Methanobacteriota
Description: bacterial SSU rRNA
Rfam family: Archaeal small subunit ribosomal RNA
Source: RNAcentral
AUGCGAGUCGAGAGGGUUCGGCCCUCGGCUGACGGCUCAGUAACACGUGGAUAACCUGCCCUCAGGUAGGGGAUAAUCUCGGGAAACUGAGGAUAAUACCCUAUAAACAUCCUUUGCUGGAAUGCUUGGAUGUUCAAAGGCAACGCCUGAGGAUGGGUCUGCGGCCUAUCAGGUUGUAGUGGGUGUAACGGACCCACUAGCCAGCGACGGGUACGGGCCUUGAAAGAGGUAGCCCGGAGAUGGACUCUGAGACACGAGUCCAGGCCCUACGGGGCGCAGCAGGCGCGAAAACUUCGCAAUGCGGGAAACCGUGACGAGGGAAUUCCGAGUGCUCAUACAAUGUAUGGGCUUUUCUGAUGUGUAAAAAGCAUUAGGAAUAAGGGCUGGGUAAGACCGGUGCCAGCCGCCGCGGUAAUACCGGCAGCUCUAGUGGUAGCCACUUUUAUUGGGCCUAAAGCGUCCGUAGCCGGUCAGGUAAAUCCUUGGGUAAAUCGUACAGCUUAACUGUGCGGCUUCCGGGGAGACUGCCUGACUUGGGACCGGGAGAGGUUGGAGGUACUCCUGGGGUAGGGGUGAAAUCCUGUAAUCCUAGGUGGACCACCGGUGGCGAAGGCGUCCAACCAGAACGGCUCCGACGGUGAGGGACGAAGGCUAGGGGCGCAAACCGGAUUAGAUACCCGGGUAGUCCUAGCUGUAAACGCUGCAGACUUGGUGUUGGAGAUCCUACGAGGGUGUCCAGUGCCGGAGAGAAGUUGUUAAGUUUGCCGCCUGGGAAGUAUGGCCGCAAGGCUGAAACUUAAAGGAAUUGGCGGGGGAGCACCGCAACGGGAGGAGCGUGCGGUUUAAUUGGAUUCAACGCCGGAA